This 375-nucleotide ribosomal RNA is filed under the name uncultured organism. RNAcentral's name for it is "bacterial SSU rRNA". It matches the Rfam family "Bacterial small subunit ribosomal RNA", at positions 526 to 896 of the family's 1533-position model. The record is from RNAcentral.
CGGGGGGAGCAAGCGUUGUUCGGAUUUACUGGGCGUAAAGGGCGCGUAGGCGGCCACCGCAAGUCAGUUGUGAAAUCUCUGGGCUUAACCCAGAAAGGUCAACUGAUACUGCGGGGCUAGAGUGCAGAAGGGGCAACUGGAAUUCUCGGUGUAGCGGUGAAAUGCGUAGAUAUCGAGAGGAACACCUGCGGCGAAGGCGGGUUGCUGGGCUGACACUGACGCUGAGGCGCGAAAGCUAGGGGAGCGAACGGGAUUAGAUACCCCGGUAGUCCUAGCCUUAAACGAUGAAUGCUUGGGUGUCUGGGGUUUUAUAGUCCCCGGAUGCCGUCGCUAACGCUUUAAGCAUUCCGCCUGGGGAGUACGGUCGCAAGACUG